This 258-nucleotide ribosomal RNA is filed under the name uncultured bacterium. RNAcentral's name for it is "partial 16S ribosomal RNA". It matches the Rfam family "Bacterial small subunit ribosomal RNA", at positions 29 to 289 of the family's 1533-position model. The record is from RNAcentral.
GUGAACGCUGGCGGCAGGCCUAACACAUGCAAGUCGAGCGGCAGCGCGGGGGCAACCCUGGCGGCGAGCGGCGGACGGGUGAGGAAUUCGUCGGAAUCUGCCUUUUUGUGGGGGAUAACGUAGGGAAACUUACGCUAAUACCGCAUACGACCUACGGGUGAAAGUGGGGGACCUUCGGGCCUCACGCAGAAAGAUGAGCCGACGACCGAUUAGCUAGUUGGUAGGGUAAAGGUCUACCAAGGCGACGAUCGGUAGCUG